RNAcentral lists this ribosomal RNA (465 nucleotides) under Vreelandella stevensii. Its description in RNAcentral is "partial 16S ribosomal RNA". It matches the Rfam family "Bacterial small subunit ribosomal RNA", at positions 338 to 795 of the family's 1533-position model. The record is from RNAcentral. Lineage: Bacteria; Pseudomonadati; Pseudomonadota; Gammaproteobacteria; Oceanospirillales; Halomonadaceae.
CCUACGGGGGACAGCAGUGGGGAAUAUUGGACAAUGGGGGCAACCCUGAUCCAGCCAUGCCGCGUGUGUGAAGAAGGCCCUCGGGUUGUAAAGCACUUUCAGUGAGGAAGAACGCCUGGUGGUUAAUACCCAUCAGGAAAGACAUCACUCACAGAAGAAGCACCGGCUAACUCCGUGCCAGCAGCCGCGGUAAUACGGAGGGUGCGAGCGUUAAUCGGAAUUACUGGGCGUAAAGCGCGCGUAGGUGGCUUGAUAAGCCGGUUGUGAAAGCCCCGGGCUCAACCUGGGAACGGCAUCCGGAACUGUCAAGCUAGAGUGCAGGAGAGGAAGGUAGAAUUCCCGGUGUAGCGGUGAAAUGCGUAGAGAUCGGGAGGAAUACCAGUGGCGAAGGCGGCCUUCUGGACUGACACUGACACUGAGGUGCGAAAGCGUGGGUAGCAAACAGGAUUAGAUACCCCUGUAGUC